GACUCUCAGCAUCAGAUAUCUCGGCUCUCGCAUCGAUGAAGAAUGUAGCGAAAUGCGAUACCUGGUGUGAAUUGCAGAAUCCCUCGAACCACCAAGUCUUUGAACGCAAGUUAUGCCCGAGGCCACCCGGCCGAGGGCACGCCUACCCGGACAUCA
Elaeis guineensis (African oil palm) is the source of this 156-nucleotide ribosomal RNA. RefSeq annotates it as 5.8S ribosomal RNA. The record is from RefSeq and is a predicted model, not a curated record. Lineage: Eukaryota; Viridiplantae; Streptophyta; Magnoliopsida; Arecales; Arecaceae.